Molecule: ribosomal RNA, 465 nt
Filed under: uncultured bacterium
Lineage: Bacteria
Description: bacterial SSU rRNA
Rfam family: Bacterial small subunit ribosomal RNA
Source: RNAcentral
UCCAGACUCCUACGGGAGGCAGCAGUGAGGAAUAUUGGUCAAUGGGCGGGAGCCUGAACCAGCCAAGUCGCGUGAGGGAAGACUGCCCUAUGGGUUGUAAACCUCUUUUGUCAGGGAGCAAUUGGCGCUACGUGUAGCGUUAUCGAGAGUACCUGAAGAAAAAGCAUCGGCUAACUCCGUGCCAGCAGCCGCGGUAAUACGGAGGAUGCGAGCGUUAUCCGGAUUUAUUGGGUUUAAAGGGUGCGUAGGCGGGCUGUUAAGUCAGCGGUCAAAUGUCGGGGCUCAACCCCGGCCUGCCGUUGAAACUGGCGGCCUCGAGUGGGCGAGAAGUAUGCGGAAUGCGUGGUGUAGCGGUGAAAUGCAUAGAUAUCACGCAGAACUCCGAUUGCGAAGGCAGCAUACCGGCGCCCUACUGACGCUGAGGCACGAAAGCGUGGGUAUCGAACAGGAUUAGAUACCCGGGUA